CCUACGGGUGGCAGCAGUGGGGAAUAUUGCACAAUGGGGGAAACCCUGAUGCAGCGACGCCGCGUGAGUGAAGAAGUAUUUCGGUACGUAAAGCUCUAUCAGCAGGGAAGAAAAUGACGGUACCUGACUAAGAAGCCCCGGCUAACUACGUGCCAGCAGCCGCGGUAAUACGUAGGGGGCAAGCGUUAGCCGGAUUUACUGGGUGUAAAGGGAGCGUAGACGGCAGGGCAAGUCAGGAGUGAAAUCCCAUGGCUUAACCAUGGAACUGCUUUGGAAACUGUGCAGCUAGAGUGCAGGAGAGGUAAGCGGAAUUCCUAGUGGAGCGGUGAAAUGCGUAGAUAUUAGGAGGAACACCAGUGGCGAAGGCGGCUUACUGGACUGUAACUGACGUUGAGGCUCGAAAGCGUGGGGAGCAAACAGGAUUAGAUACCCUUGUAGUC
This 440-nucleotide ribosomal RNA is filed under the name uncultured bacterium. RNAcentral's name for it is "partial 16S ribosomal RNA". It matches the Rfam family "Bacterial small subunit ribosomal RNA", at positions 338 to 795 of the family's 1533-position model. The record is from RNAcentral.